CCUUUGGUCAGUUGGAGUCACCUGUCCUUUCUGUGUCUCCUCCCAACCUCCCAUGCACCCCCAGUCUCCUCGCCAGCAUGGGAGGAGAGAGGGAGA
Molecule: long non-coding RNA, 96 nt
Organism: Empidonax traillii (willow flycatcher)
Lineage: Eukaryota; Metazoa; Chordata; Aves; Passeriformes; Tyrannidae
Exons: 3
Source: RefSeq, a predicted model, not a curated record